GACGAACGCUGGCGGCGUGCUUAACACAUGCAAGUCGAACGGAGAGGCCCUGCUUUUGUGGGGUGCUCGAGUGGCGAACGGGUGAGUAACACGUGAGUAACCUGCCCUUGACUUUGGGAUAACUUCAGGAAACUGGGGCUAAUACCGGAUAGGAGCUCCAGCUGCAUGGUGGGGGUUGGAAAGUUUCGGCGGUUGGGGAUGGACUCGCGGCUUAUCAGCUUGUUGGUGGGGUAGUGGCUUACCAAGGCUUUGACGGGUAGCCGGCCUGAGAGGGUGACCGGCCACAUUGGGACUGAGAUACGGCCCAGACUCCUACGGGAGGCAGCAGUGGGGAAUAUUGCACAAUGGGCGGAAGCCUGAUGCAGCAACGCCGCGUGCGGGAUGACGGCCUUCGGGUUGUAAACCGCUUUCGCCUGUGACGAAGCGUGAGUGACGGUAAUGGGUAAAGAAGCACCGGCUAACUACGUG
Molecule: ribosomal RNA, 468 nt
Filed under: uncultured bacterium
Lineage: Bacteria
Description: partial 16S ribosomal RNA
Rfam family: Bacterial small subunit ribosomal RNA
Source: RNAcentral